This 621-nucleotide ribosomal RNA is filed under the name Hafnia alvei. RNAcentral describes it as "partial 23S ribosomal RNA". It matches the Rfam family "Bacterial large subunit ribosomal RNA", at positions 2328 to 2925 of the family's 2925-position model. Lineage: Bacteria; Pseudomonadati; Pseudomonadota; Gammaproteobacteria; Enterobacterales; Hafniaceae. The record is from RNAcentral.
CGGUCGGACAUCGUGAGGUUAGUGCAAUGGCAUAAGCUAGCUUGACUGCGAGAGUGACGGCUCGAGCAGGUACGAAAGUAGGUCAUAGUGAUCCGGUGGUUCUGAAUGGAAGGGCCAUCGCUCAACGGAUAAAAGGUACUCCGGGGAUAACAGGCUGAUACCGCCCAAGAGUUCAUAUCGACGGCGGUGUUUGGCACCUCGAUGUCGGCUCAUCACAUCCUGGGGCUGAAGUAGGUCCCAAGGGUAUGGCUGUUCGCCAUUUAAAGUGGUACGCGAGCUGGGUUUAGAACGUCGUGAGACAGUUCGGUCCCUAUCUGCCGUGGGCGUUGGAAGAUUGAGAGGGGCUGCUCCUAGUACGAGAGGACCGGAGUGGACGCAUCACUGGUGUUCGGGUUGUCAUGCCAAUGGCAUUGCCCGGUAGCUAAAUGCGGAAAAGAUAAGCGCUGAAAGCAUCUAAGCGCGAAACUUGCCUCGAGAUGAGUCUUCCCUGAGACCUUGAGUCUCCUAAAGGAACGUUUAAGACUAAGACGUUGAUAGGCUGGGUGUGUAAGCGUAGCGAUACGUUGAGCUAACCAGUACUAAUGAUCCGUGAGGCUUAACCUUACAACACCGAAGGUGUUU